This 468-nucleotide ribosomal RNA is filed under the name uncultured bacterium. RNAcentral's name for it is "partial 16S ribosomal RNA". It matches the Rfam family "Bacterial small subunit ribosomal RNA", at positions 28 to 507 of the family's 1533-position model. The record is from RNAcentral.
GACGAACGCUGGCGGCGUGCUUAACACAUGCAAGUCGAACGGAAAGGCCCUGCUUUUGUGGGGUGCUCGAGUGGCGAACGGGUGAGUAACACGUGAGUAACCUGCCCUUGACUUUGGGAUAACUUCAGGAAACUGGGGCUAAUACCGGAUAGGAGCUCCUGCUGCAUGGUGGGGGUUGGAAAGUUUCGGCGGUUGGGGAUGGACUCGCGGCUUAUCAGCUUGUUGGUGGGGUAGUGGCUUACCAAGGCUUUGACGGGUAGCCGGCCUGAGCGGGUGACCGGCCACAUUGGGACUGAGAUACGGCCCAGACUCCUACGGGAGGCAGCAGUGCGGAAUAUUGCACAAUGGGCGGAAGCCUGAUGCAGCAACGCCGCGUGCGGGACGACGGCCUUCGGGUUGUAAACCGCUUUCGCCUGUGACGAAGCGUGAGUGACGGUAAUGGGUAAAGAAGCACCGGCUAACUACGUG